This 466-nucleotide ribosomal RNA is filed under the name uncultured bacterium. RNAcentral's name for it is "partial 16S ribosomal RNA". It matches the Rfam family "Bacterial small subunit ribosomal RNA", at positions 30 to 507 of the family's 1533-position model. The record is from RNAcentral.
CGACCGCUGGCGGCGUGCUUAACACAUGCAAGUCGAACGGAAAGGCCCUGCUUUUGUGGGGUGCUCGAGUGGCGAACGGGUGAGUAACACGUGAGUAACCUGCCCUUGACUUUGGGAUAACUUCAGGAAACUGGGGCUAAUACCGGAUAGGAGCUCCUGCUGCAUGGUGGGGGUUGGAAAGUUUCGGCGGUUGGGGAUGGACUCGCGGCUUAUCAGCUUGUUGGUGGGGUAGUGGCUUACCAAGGCUUUGACGGGUAGCCGGCCUGAGAGGGUGACCGGCCACAUUGGGACUGAGAUACGGCCCAGACUCCUACGGGAGGCAGCAGUGGGGAAUAUUGCACAAUGGGCGGAAGCCUGAUGCAGCAACGCCGCGUGCGGGAUGAAGGCCUUCGGGUUGUAAACCGCUUUCGCCUGUGACGAAGCGUGAGUGACGGUAAUGGGUAAAGAAGCACCGGCUAACUACGUG